Molecule: long non-coding RNA, 761 nt
Organism: Aphis gossypii (cotton aphid)
Lineage: Eukaryota; Metazoa; Arthropoda; Insecta; Hemiptera; Aphididae
Exons: 3
Source: RefSeq, a predicted model, not a curated record
GAAUUCGCUUAAAACAUGCGAUACAUUGAUAAAUUAUUAUAAUAUUGUUGUACUAUUUGCAUUUUAUAGCUCACAAAUUUUGUGCAUCAGCAUAUUACCUAUAUAUACUUAUAAUCGGCAAAGGAUGCAGGGAUGUACACACACGUAGCGUGACGUAUUAUUGCACAAAAUGCAUGAGGAUCACAACCCACAGGUAUAUUUCGUCUGUACUUGUGUCAAUAACUUGUCCAAAAUUUGAACUCGUCAUCCGCCGACUCUGGAAGGGUAGACCAUGAUAGUGAACGAUACCACCGUUACGACGGUCAAUCAGGAUACGAUAAAAAUCGCACAUCAUGACAGACGGGAAUACGAGAUGUAUACAGCUAUUGAGCUAUACGCAUUAUGCAAUGUGAAUCCAGCUUAUAUAUAGGGCAAUGAACCGAAUUCAAUAAAAUUGAUCUAUACAGAAAUACAUGAGAAAAAACGUGUGGAUCAUACGCUCUAAUCCCAAUAAAAACGUUAUCAGACAAGAAAUAAGAAAUGAAAAAUAUACGCAGAGCUGGUUUACCUGCAUCGUGUUUGGCGUAUUAUUUACAUCAUUAUUCAUAAGGGUAACACGAAAAAUGGGAAAACUCGAUGAGGUCUAUUCUAUUCAAUGUACUAUAUAAGUUGAUGAUGAUGGUAAGCAUUAAUAUUUUAAUAUUAUACAAACAUACAAAUACAACAGAAACUACUUAUGUUAUUUUAUUGUUCAUUAUAAUCAUUAAAUGAAUACCUACAAU